GUAGGUGAACCUGCGGAAGGAUCAUUACACUCAGUAGUUUACUACUGUUAAAGAGGCUGUUAGUCUGUAUAGCUUACCCGCUGAUGAGCAGCUUGUCUCUUUUCUCCACCCUUGUCUUUUGCGUACCCAUGUUUCCUCGGUAGGCUUGCCUGCCGGUUGGACAACUCUAUAACCUUUUUAAUAUUUAAUCAGCGUCUGAAAAACUUAAUAAUUACAACUUUCAACAACGGAUCUCUUGGUUCUGGCAUCG
RNAcentral lists this unclassified non-coding RNA (250 nucleotides) under plant metagenome. RNAcentral's name for it is "partial contains small subunit ribosomal RNA, internal transcribed spacer 1, and 5.8S ribosomal RNA". The record is from RNAcentral.